GUAGGUGGCAAGCGUUGUCCGGGAAUUAUUGGGGCGUAAAGCGCGCGCAGGCGGUUCUUUAAGUCUGAUGUGAAAGCCCACGGGCUCAACCGUGGAGGGUCAUUGGAAACUGGAAGACUUGAGUACAGAAGAGGAAAGCGGAAUUCCACGUGUAGCGGUGAAAUGCGUAGAGAUGUGGAGGAACACCAGUGGCGAAGGCGGCCUUCUGGUCUGUAACUGACGCUGAGGCGCGAAAGCGUGGGGAGCAAACAGGAUUAGAUACCCUGGUAGUCCACGCCGUAAACGAUGAGUGCUAAGUGUUAGGGGGUUUCCGCCCCUUAGUGCUGCAGCUAACGCAUUAAGCACUCCGCCUGGGGAGUACGGCCGCAAAGGCUG
RNAcentral lists this ribosomal RNA (375 nucleotides) under uncultured organism. RNAcentral describes it as "partial 16S ribosomal RNA". It matches the Rfam family "Bacterial small subunit ribosomal RNA", at positions 527 to 896 of the family's 1533-position model. The record is from RNAcentral.